AUUGAACGCUGGCGGCAUGCCUUACACAUGCAAGUCGAACGGCAGCGGACCUUCGGGUGCCAGCGAGUGGCGAACGGGUGAGUAAUAUAUCGGAACGUACCUUUCAGUGGGGGAUAACGUAGCGAAAGUUACGCUAAUACCGCAUAUUCUGUGAGCAGGAAAGCAGGGGAUCGCAAGACCUUGCGCUGAUUGAGCGGCCGAUAUCAGAUUAGCUAGUUGGUGAGGUAAAGGCUCACCAAGGCGACGAUCUGUAGCGGGUCUGAGAGGAUGAUCCGCCACACUGGAACUGAGACACGGUCCAGACUCCUACGGGAGGCAGCAGUGGGGAAUUUUGGACAAUGGGCGCAAGCCUGAUCCAGCCAUGCCGCGUGAGUGAAGAAGGCC
RNAcentral lists this ribosomal RNA (384 nucleotides) under uncultured bacterium. RNAcentral describes it as "bacterial SSU rRNA". It matches the Rfam family "Bacterial small subunit ribosomal RNA", at positions 30 to 416 of the family's 1533-position model. The record is from RNAcentral.